GAGAUUGGGGUGGGUCC
RNAcentral lists this microRNA (17 nucleotides) under Macrophomina phaseolina MS6. RNAcentral's name for it is "miR-4463". Lineage: Eukaryota; Fungi; Ascomycota; Dothideomycetes; Botryosphaeriales; Botryosphaeriaceae. The record is from RNAcentral.